This 518-nucleotide ribosomal RNA is filed under the name Papilio ulysses telegonus. RNAcentral's name for it is "partial 16S ribosomal RNA". The stretch from base 396 to 518 matches the Rfam family "Bacterial large subunit ribosomal RNA", at positions 2473 to 2596 of the family's 2925-position model. The record is from RNAcentral. Lineage: Eukaryota; Metazoa; Arthropoda; Insecta; Lepidoptera; Papilionidae.
AAACAUGUCUUUUUGGGAAUAAUUUAAAGUCUAAUCUGCCCACUGAUNAAAUUAUUAAAGGGCUGCAGUAUUUUGACUGUACAAAGGUAGCAUAAUCAUUAGUCUCUUAAUUGGUGACUUGUAUGAAGGAUUGGAUGAGAUAUAUACUGUCUCUAAUUAAUUUAUAAAAUUUAAUUUUUUAGUAAAAAAGCUAAAAUAAUUUUAAAAGACGAGAAGACCCUAUAGAGUUUAAUAGUUUAUUUAAUUAUUAUUAAUUUGUAAAUUUUAAAAUUAAAAUUAAAUGAAUUAUUUUAUUGGGGUGAUAGAAAAAUUAAAUUAACUUUUUUUUUAUAUUAAACAUUAAUUUAUGAUUAUAUGAUCCAUUAUUAUUGAUUAUAAGAAAAAAUUACCUUAGGGAUAACAGCGUAAUUUUUUUUUUUAGUUCAAAUAGGAAAAAAAGUUUGCGACCUCGAUGUUGGAUUAAGAUAAAAUUUAAAUGCAAAAGUUUAAAAUUUUGAUCUGUUCGAUCAUUAAAAUCU